This 161-nucleotide ribosomal RNA is filed under the name Alyssopsis mollis. RNAcentral's name for it is "5.8S ribosomal RNA". It matches the Rfam family "5.8S ribosomal RNA". Rfam says of the family: 5.8S ribosomal RNA (5.8S rRNA) is a component of the large subunit of the eukaryotic ribosome. It is transcribed by RNA polymerase I as part of the 45S precursor that also contains 18S and 28S rRNA. Lineage: Eukaryota; Viridiplantae; Streptophyta; Magnoliopsida; Brassicales; Brassicaceae. The record is from RNAcentral.
AACGACUCUCGGCAACGGAUAUCUCGGCUCUCGCAUCGAUGAAGAACGUAGCGAAAUGCGAUACUUGGUGUGAAUUGCAGAAUCCCGUGAACCAUCGAGUCUUUGUACGCAGUGCGCCCCAAGCCUUCUGGCCGAGGGCACGUCUGCCUGGGUGUCACAAA